This is a long non-coding RNA of Aplysia californica (California sea hare), 348 nucleotides long. RefSeq lists it as uncharacterized. NCBI's taxonomy places the organism in Eukaryota, Metazoa, Mollusca, Gastropoda, Aplysiida, Aplysiidae. The record is from RefSeq and is a predicted model, not a curated record. The transcript is spliced from 2 exons.
GGGUCUUUGGGCUUUGGCAAGUUCGGUUAUGGCGGAUUUGGAUUCGGCGGUUAUGGCCACGGCAUUGGCUAUGGCUACCCCUUGAUUGGAGGUUUCUACGGAAAGGGUUACGGCAGUUACUAUUAAAUGGCAUUUUUGCCUUCGGAAUUCGACACAGAACGACUGAGGAAUAUGGAUCUACCAUUUACGUCCCAUCACAACUUUGAGGAAAAAUACAAGAUCUAUUAAAAUUGUUACUUCUGGUAUAACGAAAAUGUUAAAACGAUCUGCAUUAUAUUAUGACCAUCUUGAUAUACUGCCCCGCUGUUCUACAAAUUAAACCAUCAUGCGCUGAUUACGUGCCUCACA